CCUCAGUGUUCACAGUAAAACUGUAACAUAAAGUGGGUACAGCCUCAGUGUUCACAGUAAAACUGUAACUUAACGAGGGGACAGCCUCAGUGUUCACAGUAAAACUGUAACUUAAAGUGGGUACAGCCUCAGUGUUCACAGUAAAACUGUAACUUAACGAGGGGACAGCCUCAGUGUUCACAGUAAAACUGUAACUUAAAGUGGGUACAGCCUCAGUGUUCACAGUAAAUCUGUAACUUAAAGAGGGGACAGCCUCAGUGUUCACAGUAAAACUGUAACUUAAAGUGGGUACAGCCUCAGUGUUCACAGUAAAUCUGUAACUUAAAGUGGGUACAGCCUCAGUGUUCACAGUAAAACUGUAACUUAAAGCAGGUACAGCCUCAGUGUUCACAGUAAAACUGUAACUUAACGAGGGGACAGCCUCAGUGUUCACAGUAAAACUGUAACUUAAAGCAGGUACAGCCUCAGUGUUCACAGUAAAACUGUAACUUAACGAGGGGACAGCCUCAGUGUUCACAGUAAAACUGUAACUUAAAGUGGGUACAGCCUCAGUGUUCACAGUAAAACUGUAACUUAAAGUGGGGACAGCCUCAGUGUUCACAGUAAAACUGUAACUUAAAGUGGGUACAGCCUCAGUGUUCACAGUAAAACUGUAACUUAAAGUGGGUACAGCCUCAGUGUUCACAGUAAAACUGUAACUUAAAGUGGGUACAGCCUCAGUGUUCACAGUAAAACUGUAACUUAAAGUGGGUACAGCCUCAGUGUUCACAGUAAAACUGUAACUUAAAGUGGGUACAGCCUCAGUGUUCACAGUAAAACUGUAACUUAAAGUGGGUACAGCCUCAGUGUUCACAGUAAAACUGUAACUUAAAGCAGGUACAGCCUCAGUGUUCACAGUAAAACUGUAACUUAAAGUGGGUACAGCCUCCGUGUUCACAGUAAAACUGUAACUUAAAGUGGGGACAGCCUCAGUGUUCACAGUAAAACUGUAACUUAAAGUGGGUACAGCCUCCGUGUUCACAGUAAAACUGUAACUUAAAGUGGGUACAGCCUCCGUGUUCACAGUAAAACUGUAACUUAAAGUGGGUACAGCCUCAGUGUUCACAGUAAAACUGUAACUUAAAGUGGGUACAGCCUCAGUGUUCACAGUAAAACUGUAACUUAAAGCAGGUACAGCCUCAGUGUUCACAGUAAAACUGUAACUUAAAGUGGGUACAGCCUCAGUGUUCACAGUAAAACUGUAACUUAAAGAGGGGACAGCCUCAGUGUUCACAGUAAAACUGUAACUU
Molecule: long non-coding RNA, 1289 nt
Organism: Oncorhynchus keta (chum salmon)
Lineage: Eukaryota; Metazoa; Chordata; Actinopteri; Salmoniformes; Salmonidae
Exons: 5
Source: RefSeq, a predicted model, not a curated record